UACGUAGGGAGCAAGCGUUGUCCGGAAUCAUUGGGCGUAAAGCGCGCGUAGGUGGCCUCGUAAGUCCGCUGUGAAAGUCCAAGGCUCAACCUUGGAAAGCCGGUGGAUACUGUGAGGCUAGAGUACGGAAGAGGCGAGUGGAAUUCCUGGUGUAGCGGUGGAAUGCGUAGAGAUCGGGAAGAACAUCAGUGGCGAAGGCGGUCUGCUGGGCCGUUGCUGACGCUGAGGCGCGACAGCGUGGGGAGCAAACAGG
This 253-nucleotide ribosomal RNA is filed under the name uncultured bacterium. Its description in RNAcentral is "partial 16S ribosomal RNA". It matches the Rfam family "Bacterial small subunit ribosomal RNA", at positions 524 to 776 of the family's 1533-position model. The record is from RNAcentral.